This is a long non-coding RNA of Nycticebus coucang (slow loris), 454 nucleotides long. RefSeq lists it as uncharacterized. The record is from RefSeq and is a predicted model, not a curated record. The transcript is spliced from 2 exons. NCBI's taxonomy places the organism in Eukaryota, Metazoa, Chordata, Mammalia, Primates, Lorisidae.
GACACCUGGGCACAGUGGCCGUGGUUCCCGUGGGAAGUGUCGAGGGAUUCUGAAGAGGAAUCUCCCUGUAAUGAAUUCGGUGUCAGGGAACCCGCACUCCCUCCCCCCAACUUCACCUCCUUACCCUGCAGCCUCUGGCUCCUCUCCACGAAUAAUGCAGGGGACACUUUCUCGAAUCCUCAGUCUGGACCCCAACCCCAGGGCAGCUCCCACAUCCAUCACCAAAGUCGGUGCCCACCCUGCUUACUCUCUAGCCUGCAGCCACAGACUCUGGCGGCCCCAGCAGACAAUCCUCGCUGACAGGCUGGAGUGCAGUGGUGUCAUCAUAGCUCACUGGAACCUCAUACUCCUGGACUCAAGUGAUCCUCCUGCUUCAGCCUCCUGAGUAGCUGGGGUUACAGGUGUGUAUUACCACAGCUGGCUAAUUUUUCUUUCUUUCUUUUUUUUUUUUUAA